This is a long non-coding RNA of Salvia splendens (bonfire salvia), 1493 nucleotides long. RefSeq lists it as uncharacterized. The transcript is spliced from 2 exons. Lineage: Eukaryota; Viridiplantae; Streptophyta; Magnoliopsida; Lamiales; Lamiaceae. The record is from RefSeq and is a predicted model, not a curated record.
UAGCCAAACACUUAGCUACUUAAAUAAGCCUAAUUUUAGCCUCAUCAAUAGACCUUGCUACUAUUUGGGUGCUAAAUACAAGUUGAGCUUUGUGUUUUGAGUUGUGAGUGUGAGGUGGUGGAUUGUAAAGAAUAGACAUUUCUAGACUUGAUAGAAGGUGAAAAGAAAGAAGUUCUAAAAAAAAAAAAAAGACGACCUCCAAAUUCACAAAAGUCGAGGUCUUUACAAAAACAGAAAAAAAAGAAUAAGUUGAUGAAAUAAAGAUAGAGCUUCUAUGUUUGUUUGUGUAAUCUCGUCUGGAAUAGAUCUCAAGUUUGGGGGAGUGUGGGUUUGGUUGUAAUUUUUCGUUGGUUAAUCUUUGGAAGGAAGUUGUAGGAUGGAAGAUUUUGGCACUCAAAUGUGUAGCCUUUGAGCUCACUAUCCAUAUUGAUCCAACCUCGUCCCUAGCCCCAUUACAACCUUGAAACAAGACCUUGGACCUUAUCAUUGAUGCUUGUGGAUGUUGUGUAAAUAACUUGGUAGAGUUAAAGAAGUUCGGUUUGAAAUCCGUGUGUCUAUGUGAUUAGUAGUGCUUGAUGAGUCGAUGAUGACGGUUUGAGUUGUUUGAUCGUAUGUUUGGACCUACUUUGAAGUGCACCUUGACUUGAAGUUCUAGGGGGAUGAGUGAUUGUUCUUGAGAGUGGGAAAUUUCGAUUGGAAAUGUUGGGGGUUUAGAUUUUGUCACUCACAUCCUUACAUGAUUCUUUUUGAUGAAAAUCUCUUUGCAGGUGAAGUUUGGGUGAGUUUUCGUGCUUAAAAUGUACCUUGCUCGGGGCGAGCAAGAGCUCAAGUUUGGGGGAGGGAUGGAAGCUGGAAGUUCGCCGGGUGAAAUUGGCAAAGCAUGCAAAGAUCAGAAACUUCGCCCGGUCGGGCAAUUAUGAGCUUCAAAACGCUCGGUCGGGCGUUUCGUGUAAAGCAUGAGGAGGACUCCAGAAAGUUCGCCCGAUCGGGCGAUUCUCAGUUGCCAAAACGCCCGGUCGGGCGAAAUGUGUACGACAGGACCCAGAAGCUAACGCCCGGUCGGGCGAUUUAGUCUUUUAAAAACGCCCGGUCGGGCGUUUGAUGUUUCAACCGUCAAUUCAGCAGUUUUCGCGGCGGUUUUGAGGAAUAAAGGAGAAAAAGGACGACAUUUUUGGGGGAGACGAAAAGAGAGAUGGGAGAAAGGCGGAGAAGUGACGUGAGAGAAGAAAAAGGCUGUAAAAGAGAAGAGAGAGAGGAGCAUUGGGAGAAGAAAGUCAAAAGAAAGUGACAGAGGAAUUGAUUAAAAAUUUGAGAGAGAAAGUGACGUUUUUGGGGAGAAGAAUUGUUAAUUUCAAGCUUAUUCCAUGAAUCAAAGGGUUCUUCCAUUGUCAAUUGCUCCUAGUUUAAUUAUGCUUGGCUAAAAAUUCCAUUGUUGCUCCAAACAUGUUGUAGACAAGUAAAUUUCGUGAUUUAUCCAAUGUUCGUUUCUAUUU